ACGGGGGGUGCAAGCGUUACUCGGAAUCACUGGGCGUAAAGAGCAUGUAGGCGGAUUAAUAAGUUUGAAGUGAAAUCCUAUAGCUUAACUAUAGAACUGCUUUGAAAACUGUUAAUCUAGAAUGUGGGAGAGGUAGAUGGAAUUUCUGGUGUAGGGGUAAAAUCCGUAGAGAUCAGAAGGAAUACCGAUUGCGAAGGCGAUCUACUGGAACAUUAUUGACGCUGAGAUGCGAAAGCGUGGGGAGCAAACAG
RNAcentral lists this ribosomal RNA (251 nucleotides) under uncultured prokaryote. RNAcentral describes it as "partial 16S ribosomal RNA". It matches the Rfam family "Bacterial small subunit ribosomal RNA", at positions 525 to 775 of the family's 1533-position model. The record is from RNAcentral.